CCAUGCCGCGUGAGUGAUGAAGGCCCUAGGGUCGUAAAGCUCUUUCGCCAGGGAUGAUAAUGACAGUACCUGGUAAAGAAACCCCGGCUAACUCCGUGCCAGCAGCCGCGGUAAUACGGAGGGGGUUAGCGUUGUUCGGAAUUACUGGGCGUAAAGCGCGCGUAGGCGGACUGGAAAGUUGGGGGUGAAAUCCCAGGGCUCAACCCUGGAACUGCCUCCAAAACUAUCAGUCUAGAGUUCGAGAGAGGUGAGUGGAAUUCCGAGUGUAGAGGUGAAAUUCGUAGAUAUUCGGAGGAACACCAGUGGCGAAGGCGGCUCACUGGCUCGAUACUGACGCUGAGGUGCGAAAGUGUGGGGAGCAAACAGGAUUAGAUACCCUGGUAGUCCACACCGUAAACGAUGAAUGCCAGUCGUCGGGUAGCAUGCUAUUCGGUGACACACCUAACGGAUUAAGCAUUCCGCCUGGGGAGUACGGUCGCAAGAUUA
RNAcentral lists this ribosomal RNA (486 nucleotides) under Ruegeria sp. C-1. RNAcentral's name for it is "bacterial SSU rRNA". It matches the Rfam family "Bacterial small subunit ribosomal RNA", at positions 392 to 896 of the family's 1533-position model. Lineage: Bacteria; Pseudomonadati; Pseudomonadota; Alphaproteobacteria; Rhodobacterales; Roseobacteraceae. The record is from RNAcentral.